UACGUAGGGUGCGAGCGUUGUCCGGAAUUAUUGGGCGUAAAGAGCUCGUAGGCGGUUUGUCACGUCUGCUGUGAAAUCCCGAGGCUCAACCUCGGGCCUGCAGUGGGUACGGGCAGACUGGAGUGCGGUAGGGGAGAAUGGAAUUCCUGGUGUAGCGGUGGAAUGCGCAGAUAUCAGGAGGAACACCGAUGGCGAAGGCAGGUCUCUGGGCCGAUACUGACGCUGAGGAGCGAAAGCGUGGGGAGCGAACAGG
Molecule: ribosomal RNA, 253 nt
Filed under: uncultured bacterium
Lineage: Bacteria
Description: partial 16S ribosomal RNA
Rfam family: Bacterial small subunit ribosomal RNA
Source: RNAcentral